CCUACGGGCGGCAGCAGUAGGGAAUCUUCCACAAUGGACGAAAGUCUGAUGGAGCAACGCCGCGUGUGUGAUGAAGGGUUUCGGCUCGUAAAACACUGUUGUAAGAGAAGAAUGACAUUGAGAGUAACUGUUCAGUGUGUGACGGUAUCUUACCAGAAAGGAACGGCUAAAUACGUGCCAGCAGACGCGGUAAUACGUAUGUUCCAAGCGUUAUCCGGAUUUAUUGGGCGUAAAGAGAGAUAAGACGGUUGUUUGAAUCCGAAGUGAAAGCCCCCAGAUUAACUGUGGAAGGGCUUUGGAAACUGGAUAACUUGAGUGCAGUAGAGGAGAGUGGAACUCCAUGUGUAGCGGUGAAAUGCGUAGAUAUAUGGAAGAACACCAGUGGCGAAGGCGGCUCUCUGGACUGUAACUGACGUCGAGGCUCGAAAGUGUGGGUAGCAAACAGGAUUAGAUACCCCUGUAGUC
RNAcentral lists this ribosomal RNA (465 nucleotides) under uncultured Weissella sp. RNAcentral's name for it is "bacterial SSU rRNA". It matches the Rfam family "Bacterial small subunit ribosomal RNA", at positions 338 to 795 of the family's 1533-position model. The record is from RNAcentral. Lineage: Bacteria; Bacillati; Bacillota; Bacilli; Lactobacillales; Lactobacillaceae.